AGCUUUAAGAACAUAUUUUAAGUUACUUCUGCCCAGCGUUUAUAUUAGCGGCCGCAGUACCUUGACUGUGCUAAGGUAGCAUAAUCAAUUGGCUUUUAAUUGAAGUCUGGAAUGAAAGGUUUUAUAAAGAAUUAACUGUCUCUUUAAAAUUUUAAUGAAUUUAUUUAAAAAGUGAAAAUACUUUUUUAUAGAAAAAAGACGAGAAGACCCUUAGAAUUUUAAUUAAUUAAUUUAUUUAAAUUAAAUAUUUUUGUUGGGGCGACAAUGAAACAAUCAACUUUCAAUUAAAAACAAAUCAUUUUUUUUAAAAGAUUAAAUUACCUUAGGGAUAACAGCAUAAUGAAUAAUUUAGUUUGUGACCUCGANGUUGGACUAGGAACUAAAAGACUAACAGUCAUAAUAGAAUGUUCUGUUCGAACAAAAUUUCC
Molecule: ribosomal RNA, 428 nt
Filed under: Austropeplea tomentosa
Lineage: Eukaryota; Metazoa; Mollusca; Gastropoda; Lymnaeidae
Description: partial large subunit ribosomal RNA
Source: RNAcentral